Molecule: long non-coding RNA, 620 nt
Organism: Corvus hawaiiensis (hawaiian crow)
Lineage: Eukaryota; Metazoa; Chordata; Aves; Passeriformes; Corvidae
Exons: 3
Source: RefSeq, a predicted model, not a curated record
AUCCAGUUGAAAGGACAGUCUCAGAAACAGGGGAGCCUUUCCACAAGCAGCAGCUGUUCCUGCUGUUGGGUGUGCACGUCAGAUUCUGCUGUCUGCAGAAAUCUGGCACACAGUGAAUGUCCAGAGGUUCUGGAGGACGACCUCGGCGUGUUUAUCUAUGUCGGGCCAAGUGGAGUGACCAGUAUUUUGUAUCGUUCUUAACCGAGGUGCCCUCCUGAGUGCAGACAUGAAGAGAACUUUCUUGGACAUAUGUAAGUAAAGAUUGCAGCAAAUGGUUGUGUUUCAUGGCUCUGACAAUACUCACGUUUUGUUUGAUUUCAGCAAUUCUGUCAAUUCUUAAUUUUAAAGGUAGAAAAAAAAUGAAUACUAAAAUAUUGCAGUACUAUAGUAAUGUUGCCAUUAUAACUUUGACCAGAUUUUAAAAGCCUGCUGAGCACACCUGAGAUGUGCAAUGAACAGACCAUACAAAAAAUGUGGGAAGUGUUUUGUCAGCUCUCUUGCAGGCAGGUGUUGCCUAUGACAUCCAGCAGAAUGGAAAAGACUUUGUCUAUCAGUCAAAUACAGCAGGAUUAAAUAAAAAAAAUUGCUUUCUUUCUGGGGUUUUUAUAGAUGAAAAUGAA